Molecule: ribosomal RNA, 2468 nt
Filed under: Triticum aestivum (bread wheat)
Lineage: Eukaryota; Viridiplantae; Streptophyta; Magnoliopsida; Poales; Poaceae
Description: partial small subunit ribosomal RNA
Source: RNAcentral
UUCUGUCUUCCCUAGGGAAUUAGGCAUGCUUCUAUGUAUUAGGAAAAAAUAACAAAAGUAAAUGGAAUAUAUUCUGAAGAUAGUGACCGGUGAACAACCUCCCCAGUUCUAGUUGUGAUGAAGCUUCCAUCGAUACCUGCUCUCCAAUUUCCGACUGUACUUCAGUGGAAAGAGGUUACACACUUGUGUUACAAAUCCAAAUAAAUGUUAAAUAAGUUUUAUAUUCAAUGGUAUGUGAAAAUAACCAUUAAGACGACAUCUUAUAUUCUUAUCUUUCUUUUAGGAAUUAUCACACAACAUUUUAUGACCUGGUCAAAAAAUAUUAUUCCCACUGGACCAGAAUUCCUUUGUGUUGUACUAGUUUUAUGAGUGAAUUAUUGUUAUUUUUACAGCACCUUUUCCCAUUUUCCUAAGUUGCAUGGCAUAAACAAUGGCAAACUGAUACCAAUAUUUGGCAAUCUACUAAAGGUCUAUUUUUGAAAUGCAACUGUAUGAAGCUUAAAACAUUUGAGAUGGUCAUUGUCAAUUACUGAUCAUAGAUGCACCAAAGGCAAAAGCAGGAAGAGACGGAGAUGAAGAGAAGCAACGGGUAUUUGAGAUGUGGUGACUAAGUGGAUUGAAAACAAAACUGAAGCUGAUAACUUCUAAUAUACAAUGACACUUACUUAGAUGUGCGGUCGAGAGAGAAAAAAAAAAUUGUGAUGGCAACAAAGAUUGGAUAACAAUCAACUAUUAUCACAUCUACGCUGAAGAGAAAAAGAAGGAUAUAGCGGUUAACUAUAUUAGUCAUAUACUUUCUGAAGUUCUCACUUCAUCCAACCUUUAUAAGACUGCAAUUGCUAUAACAGAAGUAACCUGGGGCCUAGAGAUUCCAAGAUUUCAGAAAACUAUCUUUUGACUUCAGCAAAGAAAACUUGGUAGUAACUGUAUUUAAAGCCAUAUAAUAUGUUGGUUCACUAAAAUGUUUCCUUUUCAGGCAACAUCAAAAUUGUAGAUGCAGCAGAAGUGUUCUGGUGGCUGGUACACUGAAAAUUGACACAAACCAAAAUAGACAUCUAUUGCUGUCAAAAUUAACAUUAUUCUUAUAACUAAUCAUUGCUAGGUGGCAAUGCUACAUGAUCUGUCCAGCUCAACAAUCAUGUACAUAGUUCUGAUCAGUAAGCUGACAUCUAUUAGACUUUGCUCCUCCCGUUCUGCAUAUUAUUCAUCACGGCAAAGCAAUUCUUGCAUGUAUUUUCAAACAGACCAUGGAGAAAUCAAAGUAUGGAUUGCGCUGACAUAAAAAAGAGAGACUUAAAUUUUGGUUAGGAAGUUUCGGUCCAAUGCAUUUGUGGUUCGUAUCUAUGUCCUGUUGUGCUUCGUGUGAUUUACAUUCGUUGUAAGCAUUUCCUCCCGCUACUGAUUGUGCCUGUACUGAAUAGUGCUAGGUUUUACCGUUUUAUAGGGGGUUUGUGAGGUGGCCAAAUACCGUGCCAUGUGUUUGAAAGUUGUCAAAUCUGGUCACGCAUUGGGUGUUUGAUUGUACCCUGUUGUUCAUAUGUAGUGGUGAAGUCAAUCGGUCAUGUAAACUCAAUGAGCUAGAUAUCUGAAUUCUGUGAACUUGUUAACUAAAAUUGCUGUAGUUUUUACAUUGAUAGAACUAAAUGAUAAAGUGAAUGUGCUGCAUUUUUAACUGAAUGUACUGAUUGUGAACUGAGUUUUGCUAAAUGAUUCUAUGAAUUUUAUGCACACUGAACCUUCUGAACUUUUCUCCUGUCAUAACUGAAUCUUCUAAACUUUUGACAUUGUCAUAACUUAAUAUUCUGAACUCACGGUCAACUGUACACGCAAGUUUUUGAACCAAAGAUGUGUAUUUUGUAACUUUGUGACUAAUUUGAGCAUUCCGCGCAAGCUUAUGUACUUGUGUCAUAUUUACCUCAAAAGGAAAUAAAUAAGAAGAUCCAAAUCAGCAACUUGUUACCCCAUCCACCGGUAGCACCGUCAUCCGUGGACGACUCCACCUCACCCCCGUCCGGAGCUCGCUAGCGCCAGCCGUACCCGAUCUGCGGCGCGCCACUGUCGUCUCAUUGAUGAGGUCGUCGGCACCGCCCGAGCUCCACCGUUGGCCGCACGCAAUCCACGCCCGCCGUGUCCAUUCCCACCUCGAGCUCGCGAGCUCUAGACCAGAACACCAGUCGUCGCCCCUCCCAAAGCUCCACCGAUGACCGGUGUGACUGUGAGGCUGCGACGGCCGGGGAGUCAAGCAUCGCGCUGGGACCAAGGGUGGUGCAGCACGCAAUCGGGGCGACACAUGGGGAGGAGAAUAGGCCGGCGGAAGGUGGAGCAAUAGUGUUGUUGGGGCGGCGGCCGGAACCCUAGUGUGGCAGGGGGCGCUGGAUGAGGAGGAGAAAGAGACAUCGGGAGGGUUGCUGUGGUGGGGCACGUUUGGGGAAGGAAGUUCACACGGAUGGCAAGCACGAGUCAACAAC